RNAcentral lists this ribosomal RNA (544 nucleotides) under Prevotella brunnea. Its description in RNAcentral is "partial 23S ribosomal RNA". It matches the Rfam family "Bacterial large subunit ribosomal RNA", at positions 166 to 751 of the family's 2925-position model. Lineage: Bacteria; Pseudomonadati; Bacteroidota; Bacteroidia; Bacteroidales; Prevotellaceae. The record is from RNAcentral.
AUAGGUUAAUGAGGCGAACCGGGGGAACUGAAACAUCUAAGUACCCCGAGGAAAAGAAAUCAACCGAGAUUCCCCCAGUAGCGGCGAGCGAACGGGGAGCAGCCCAGAGCCUGAAUCAGUGUGUGUGUUAGUGGAAGCGUCUGGAAAGGCGCGCGAUACAGGGUGACAGCCCCGUACACAAAAAUGCACAUGCUGUGAGCUCGAUGAGUAGGGCGGGACACGUGGUAUCCUGUCUGAAUAUGGGGGGACCAUCCUCCAAGGCUAAAUACUCCUGACUGACCGAUAGUGAACCAGUACCGUGAGGGAAAGGCGAAAAGAACCCCGGCGAGGGGAGUGAAAAAGAACCUGAAACCGUGUACGUACAAGCAGUGGGAGCACGCUUAGGCGUGUGACUGCGUACCUUUUGUAUAAUGGGUCAGCGACUUAUAUUCUGUAGCAAGGUUAACCGAAUAGGGGAGCCGAAGGGAAACCGAGUCUUAACUGGGCGUUAAGUUGCAGGGUAUAGACCCGAAACCCGGUGAUCUAGCCAUGGGCAGGUUGAAGG